Long non-coding RNA from Oncorhynchus keta (chum salmon), 173 nucleotides. RefSeq lists it as uncharacterized. The transcript has 3 exons. NCBI's taxonomy places the organism in Eukaryota, Metazoa, Chordata, Actinopteri, Salmoniformes, Salmonidae. The record is from RefSeq and is a predicted model, not a curated record.
GGAACGACAGAGAGAACAGGGCACCAGUGGCAAGCACAAGCUCAGCUCUUGGUCUCCAGAAUGGCUAUCAGAAACGCAGGAAGUAGGAACUGGACAGAUCAUCUUUUUCUAUGCUGGAAUUGUCUUGUGCAUUGACUAGUGAACUUACCAUCACUUUAAACUAUGCAUCUUGU